Molecule: long non-coding RNA, 487 nt
Organism: Symphalangus syndactylus (siamang)
Lineage: Eukaryota; Metazoa; Chordata; Mammalia; Primates; Hylobatidae
Source: RefSeq, a predicted model, not a curated record
GCCACUGCCACACAGCAACUGCCAUGCAGAAAAAGGAGUUGAGAAGGGAGUAGCAUCUGAUAUGUAGUCAGCAUGAAUCAGCCUUAGGUUCCCUGGCUCCAUACCCUAUUCUUCCACCUCAUUAUGAUUCCACUAUGAGGCAUCUAGAGUAGUCAAACUUAUAAAGACAGAAAGUAGAGCUGUGGCUGCCAGACCACACGGAAGGAGAGAAAACGCCUGAACAGCUCCAACUGUGGCAGCCAUACAAGCCCAGAUGCCAGACAGUGAAUGAAGAUGGGCAUCCCAUUCCCAGCAGAAAUGAUGUGAAGAACCAAAAAAAAAUCCACAGACAGCCCUAGAUAUACACCUCCAGGUGACCAACCCAGACACCACCAACAGUUAGCACUAUUCCAGUUGAAUACUCCCCAACAAAAAUCUAUCCUUGCUAUGUGUUGCCUGAAUUCAUGACCAACAAAGCUAUGAACAUAAUAAAAUGAUUGUUAUUUUA